AGGGUAUUCGUGCAUGGAUGGUAGCUCUAGAACAGCAUCAUGAAAAUUUUAUAUUCCUUGAGGAGGUUCUACAACGUGGAAACACUCUUUAGUGAAACUUUUGUUUUAGCUGGCCGUGACUAACAGACCACUGGCUUUGCUUGGUUAGCCGGGAAUGUUAGACUUAUCGUUUUUCUGGUAAACCUACUUGGAGCUCACGUAGCCCAUGCCGGAGUAAUCAUAUUCUAGGCCAGAGCAAUGAACCUAUUUAAAGAUUGGUGA
Molecule: ribosomal RNA, 261 nt
Filed under: Triticum aestivum (bread wheat)
Lineage: Eukaryota; Viridiplantae; Streptophyta; Magnoliopsida; Poales; Poaceae
Description: partial small subunit ribosomal RNA
Source: RNAcentral